Molecule: non-coding RNA, 31 nt
Filed under: Rattus norvegicus (Norway rat)
Lineage: Eukaryota; Metazoa; Chordata; Mammalia; Rodentia; Muridae
Source: RNAcentral
UUGCAGGACCUACAUUGUCACAGGAUCCACA